This 253-nucleotide ribosomal RNA is filed under the name uncultured bacterium. RNAcentral's name for it is "partial 16S ribosomal RNA". It matches the Rfam family "Bacterial small subunit ribosomal RNA", at positions 524 to 776 of the family's 1533-position model. The record is from RNAcentral.
UACGAAGGGUGCAAGCGUUACUCGGAAUUACUGGGCGUAAAGCGUGCGUAGGUGGUUCGUUAAGUCUGUCGUGAAAGCCCCGGGCUCAACCUGGGAAUUGCGAUGGAGACUGCAAGGCUUGAAUCUGGCAGAGGGGGGUAGAAUUCCACGUGUAGCAGUGAAAUGCGUAGAGAUGUGGAGGAACACCGAUGGCGAAGGCAGCCCCCUGGGUCAGGAUUGACGCUCAUGCACGAAAGCGUGGGGAGCAAACAGG